UGAGGAAUAUUGGACAAUGGGCGGAAGCCUGAUCCAGCCAUGCCGCGUGAAGGAUUACGGUCCUAUGGAUUUUAAACUUCUUUUGUACGUGAGCAAUAAGGGUCACGUGUGGCCCGAUGAGAGUAGCGUACGAAUAAGCAUCGGCUAACUCCGUGCCAGCAGCCGCGGUAAUACGGAGGAUGCAAGCGUUAUCCGGAUUCAUUGGGUUUAAAGGGUGCGUAGGCGGCGCAGUAAGUCAGCGGUGAAAUGUACGGGCUUAACCUGUAACGUGCCGUUGAUACUGCCGUGCUAGAGUACUGUUGCCGUGGGAGGAAUGUGUAGUGUAGCGGUGAAAUGCAUAGAUAUUACACAGAACACCGAUUGCGAAGGCAUCUCACGAAGCAGGGACUGACGCUGAUGCACGAAAGUGCGGGGAUCAAACAGG
RNAcentral lists this ribosomal RNA (424 nucleotides) under uncultured Bacteroidota bacterium. Its description in RNAcentral is "bacterial SSU rRNA". It matches the Rfam family "Bacterial small subunit ribosomal RNA", at positions 355 to 776 of the family's 1533-position model. The record is from RNAcentral. Lineage: Bacteria; Pseudomonadati; Bacteroidota.